CGACCGGCGCACGGGUGAGUAACACGUAUGCAACCUGCCCUCUUCAGGGGACGAACCUUCCGAAAGGGAGGCUAAUCCCGCGUAUAUCGGUUUCGGGCAUCCGAGAUCGAGGAAAGAUUCAUCGGAAGAGGAUGGGCAUGCGGCGCAUUAGCUAGACGGCGGGGUAACGGCCCACCGUGGCGACGAUGCGUAGGGGUUCUGAGAGGAAGGUCCCCCACACUGGUACUGAGACACGGACCAGACUCCUACGGGAGGCAGCAG
This 261-nucleotide ribosomal RNA is filed under the name uncultured bacterium. Its description in RNAcentral is "partial 16S ribosomal RNA". It matches the Rfam family "Bacterial small subunit ribosomal RNA", at positions 92 to 354 of the family's 1533-position model. The record is from RNAcentral.